This 501-nucleotide ribosomal RNA is filed under the name uncultured bacterium. Its description in RNAcentral is "bacterial SSU rRNA". It matches the Rfam family "Bacterial small subunit ribosomal RNA", at positions 408 to 918 of the family's 1533-position model. The record is from RNAcentral.
AUGACGGCCUUCGGUUUCGUAAACCGCUUUCGCCUGUGAUGAAGCGUGAGUGACGGUAAUGGGUAAAGAAGCACCGGCUAACUACGUGCCAGCAGCCGCGGUGAUACGUAGGGUGCGAGCGUUGUCCGGAUUUAUUGGGCGUAAAGGGCUCGUAGGUGGUUGAUCGCGUCGGAAGUGUAAUCUUGGGGCUUAACCCUGAGCGUGCUUUCGAUACGGGUUGACUUGAGGAAGGUAGGGGAGAAUGGAAUUCCUGGUGGAGCGGUGGAAUGCGCAGAUAUCAGGAGGAACACCAGUGGCGAAGGCGGUUCUCUGGGCCUUUCCUGACGCUGAGGAGCGAAAGCGUGGGGAGCGAACAGGCUUAGAUACCCUGGUAGUCCACGCUGUAAACGGUGGGUACUAGGUGUGGGGUCCAUUCCACGGGUUCCGCGCCGUAGCUAACGCUUUAAGUACCCCGCCUGGGGAGUACGGCCGCAAGGCUAAAACUCAAAUGAAUUGACGGAA